RNAcentral lists this ribosomal RNA (1387 nucleotides) under uncultured bacterium. RNAcentral's name for it is "bacterial SSU rRNA". It matches the Rfam family "Bacterial small subunit ribosomal RNA", at positions 28 to 1381 of the family's 1533-position model. The record is from RNAcentral.
GACGAAUGCUGGCGGCGUGCCUAAUACAUGCAAGUCGAACGAACUCUGGUAUUGAUUGGUGCUUGCAUCAUGAUUUACAUUUGAGUGAGUGGCGAACUGGUGAGUAACACGUGGGAAACCUGCCCAGAAGCGGGGGAUAACACCUGGAAACAGAUGCUAAUACCGCAUAACAACUUGGACCGCAUGGUCCGAGUUUGAAAGAUGGCCUCGGCUAUCACUUUUGGAUGGUCCCGCGGCGUAUUAGCUAGAUGGUGAGGUAACGGCUCACCAUGGCAAUGAUACGUAGCCGACCUGAGAGGGUAAUCGGCCACAUUGGGACUGAGACACGGCCCAAACUCCUACGGGAGGCAGCAGUAGGGAAUCUUCCACAAUGGACGAAAGUCUGAUGGAGCAACGCCGCGUGAGUGAAGAAGGGUUUCGGCUCGUAAAACUCUGUUGUUAAAGAAGAACAUAUCUGAGAGUAACUGUUCAGGUAUUGACGGUAUUUAACCAGAAAGCCACGGCUAACUACGUGCCAGCAGCCGCGGUAAUACGUAGGUGGCAAGCGUUGUCCGGAUUUAUUGGGCGUAAAGCGAGCGCAGGCGGUUUUUUAAGUCUGAUGUGAAAGCCUUCGGCUCAACCGAAGAAGUGCAUCGGAAACUGGGAAACUUGAGUGCAGAAGAGGACAGUGGAACUCCAUGUGUAGCGGUGAAAUGCGUAGAUAUAUGGAAGAACACCAGUGGCGAAGGCGGCUGUCUGGUCUGUAACUGACGCUGAGGCUCGAAAGUAUGGGUAGCAAACAGGAUUAGAUACCCUGGUAGUCCAUACCGUAAACGAUGAAUGCUAAGUGUUGGAGGGUUUCCGCCCUUCAGUGCUGCAGCUAACGCAUUAAGCAUUCCGCCUGGGGAGUACGGCCGCAAGGCUGAAACUCAAAGGAAUUGACGGGGGCCCGCACAAGCGGUGGAGCAUGUGGUUUAAUUCGAAGCUACGCGAAGAACCUUACCAGGUCUUGACAUACUAUGCAAAUCUAAGAGAUUAGACGUUCCCUUCGGGGACAUGGAUACAGGUGGUGCAUGGUUGUUGUCAGCUCGUGUCGUGAGAUGUUGGGUUAAGUCCCGCAACGAGCGCAACCCUUAUUAUCAGUUGCCAGCAUUAAGUUGGGCACUCUGGUGAGACUGCCGGUGACAAACCGGAGGAAGGUGGGGAUGACGUCAAAUCAUCAUGCCCCUUAUGACCUGGGCUACACACGUGCUACAAUGGAUGGUACAACGAGUUGCGAACUCGCGAGAGUAAGCUAAUCUCUUAAAGCCAUUCUCAGUUCGGAUUGUAGGCUGCAACUCGCCUACAUGAAGUCGGAAUCGCUAGUAAUCGCGGAUCAGCAUGCCGCGGUGAAUACGUUCCCGGGCCU